Molecule: ribosomal RNA, 808 nt
Filed under: uncultured eukaryote
Lineage: Eukaryota
Description: bacterial SSU rRNA
Rfam family: Eukaryotic small subunit ribosomal RNA
Source: RNAcentral
GUGCCAGCGCCGCGGUAAUACCAGCUGAUAAAGAACAUGAUACUAUUGUCGCGUUUAAAGCAUCCGUAGUCGGUGUUUUGGGGGCGUCGCUAAGGUGACGUGCCAUCAUGGGUUCAUGCCCUUGUUUCUGUGAAUAAAUCAGAAUGAUUAAAUAUGGACGUACCGAACAGGUUGCCAAUGCUAAAGCACAGGAAAACAUCAUAUACCCGCCUAGCGGAGGAUAAGAGAAAAGAAUAAUCGAAGGGUCAUGUACUUGGUGGCUAGCGGUAAAAUGCGGUGAUUCACCAAUGACAAACAACUGCGGAGGCAUUUCCCUAGUCUAUUUCUGUAUGAUCAAGGAUGUAGGUGUAGGGAUCAAAUCGGAUUAGACACCCGAGUAGUCUACACAGUAAACUAUACCAAUUAGAAAUGUGGUGAGUUAUAAGUUUCAUUAUGUAUCUGGAUGGAAACAUCAAAUGAGGUCAUGGGGGGAGUACGUUUGCAAGGAUGAAACUUAAACGGAUUGACGGAAUAGCACCACAAGACGUGGAGCGUGCGGUUUAAUUUGAUUCAACGCAGGAAAACUUACCAAGGUAUGACAUGGAAAUGAUAGACAGGUUAAAAGGCCUUUCUUGAUUCUAUGAGUGGUGGUGCAUGGCCGAUCUUAGUUGGUGUUGUAAAAUGUCUGGUUAAUUCCGAUAACGAACGAGAUCCAAACUUUCAAGUCGGCGUAUACAGCAAUGCUGUACUACGGUCUCUUUGAAGGACUACUGACCUAAGUCAGGGGAAGUUUUGGCUAAAUCAGGUCUGUGAUGCCCAAGGCGAAUUC